This 458-nucleotide ribosomal RNA is filed under the name uncultured bacterium. RNAcentral's name for it is "partial 16S ribosomal RNA". It matches the Rfam family "Bacterial small subunit ribosomal RNA", at positions 29 to 507 of the family's 1533-position model. The record is from RNAcentral.
AACGAACGCUGGCGGCAUGCCUAACACAUGCAAGUCGAACGAGACCUUCGGGUCUAGUGGCGCACGGGUGCGUAACGCGUGGGAACCUUCCCUUAGGUUCGGACUAACUCCCCGAAAGGGGUGCUAAUACCGGAUAAUGUCUUCUGACCAAAGAUUUAUCGCCUUUGGAUGGGCCCGCGUUGGAGUAGCUAGUUGGUAAGGUAAAAGCCUACCAAGGCGACGAUGCAUAGCUGGUCUGAGAGGGUGAUCAGCCACACUGGGACUGAGACACGGCCCAGACACCGACGGGAGGCAGCAGUAGGGAAUCUUCCGCAAGGGGCGAAAGCCUGACGGUGCAACGCCGCGUGAGUGAUGAAGGUCUUCGGAUCGUAAAGCGCUGUUAUUAGGGAAGAACAAAUGUGUAAGUAACUAUGCACGUCUUGACGGUACCGAAUCAGAAAGCCACGGCUAACUACGUG